UUUACAUCUCUAAUGCAUUUUAAAAUUUGUUUUGGUUGUAGAUGGCCACAAUACCUUUGCUUUAUUUUUAUGUAGUGUGGAGGAUCUAACCCAGGGCUCACAUGGGCCAGGCAAGUGCUCUACCACUUAGCCACAACCCCAGUCUUUCUAAUGCAUUUUGAAUAAUGACUAACAUGGCAUUUGAACAGAACUCUGAUUGGUGGUCUUCAGGGGCCUCUUGGAGUCUUUGUUAUUAUCUUUCAAAUUUCGAGGAAACAUUCUACAAGUUUUCUUAAAACUCAGAAAGUUCUUUUAUGAGUCUCUGUAAUUGUUCAAAAUUAAAGGUUUAAACUUAGAGUAACUUCUACAUUAUCCACCAAGAAUGAAGUAGACAUUUGCCCACAAACACAAUCAAGAUCAUCUGGCUUUGAAACUUCAGCUGUCUUCACGAACUCAGUAAUGGAUCAGAGGGAGAUUCAAGUGAUCCACCUGUCCACUGUAUCAUCCCUACUGUAGAUGGGCCUGGAGCUGUCUUGGGAUCAAUGGACACCACUGUUAGAAAAAUACAAGGCCUGGCAUUGCUGUAUGGAGGCAGGGAUUGGCAGCCUAUUAUGCAUGUGGGAUUAAAUAAGACUCAGUUUAGUUUGACCCUGGGUUUGUAAAUCACUGGAUAAAUUAUUGUGUUAGCUAUAGAUUAUUAGCCUUCAUAUGGGCAGGUAGGAAUUGAGACUAUAUGUCUAUAGAGUUCCUUUUUAUCCGUUAUUUAAUAGGUAGAAUACAUAUGCAAAUAAGUCAUGGAAAAGUGAAGUUGAUUUACAUUGU
This 801-nucleotide long non-coding RNA is filed under the name Marmota monax (woodchuck). The record is from RNAcentral. Lineage: Eukaryota; Metazoa; Chordata; Mammalia; Rodentia; Sciuridae.